CCUACGGGUGGCUGCAGUGAGGAAUAUUGGUCAAUGGACGGAAGUCUGAACCAGCCAAGUCGCGUGAAGGAUGACUGCCCUAUGAGUUGUAAACUGCUUUUGUACAAGAGUAAAACUAAACACGUGUACCUUUUUGCAAGUACUUUAUGAAUAAGGAUCGGCUAACUCCGUGCCAGCAGCCGCGGUAAUACGGAGGAUCCGAGCGUUAUCCGGAUUUAUUGGGUUUAAAGGGUGCGUAGGUGGGUUGUUAAGUCAGUGGUGAAAGUUUGCGGCUCAACCGGAAAAUUGCAAUUGAUACUGGUAGUCUUGAGUACAGUUGAGGUAGGCGGAAUGCGUGGUGUAGCGGUGAAAUGCUUAGAUAUCACGAAGAACCCCGAUUGCGAAGGCAGCUUACUAAACUGUGACUGACAUUGAGGCACGAAAGUGUGGGUAGCAAACAGGAUUAGAUACCCGGGUAGUC
This 460-nucleotide ribosomal RNA is filed under the name uncultured bacterium. RNAcentral's name for it is "partial 16S ribosomal RNA". It matches the Rfam family "Bacterial small subunit ribosomal RNA", at positions 338 to 795 of the family's 1533-position model. The record is from RNAcentral.